UUUGGAGGAUUUAUCAACACCUUCAUAAUCCGCAAUUUUACCGCCAUUAGUAGCUAACAAAGCAAUACCUUUGGCACAAUCGUGAGCAGAACCACCACCAAUUGAUACCAUAGAAUCACAGUUUUCCUUCUUAACGAUUUCGAGACCUUGGUUGACAUUUCCAACGGUGGGAUUAGGUUGAACACCAUCGUAAAGGUGAACAGUGAUGCUUUGUUCUUCCAACAGAGCCUUAACUUUGUCAUACAAACCGACCUUAAUAAUACCAGGAUCGGUAACAAUUAAGGUGUUUUUGAAGCCGCUCAUCUUAAUUUGCUUGGCGGCUUCAGCAAGACAACCUUUACCGAAAAGGUUGAAAGAAGGUAUGUAGAAUGCGCUAACAGGCAUGGCUUUCGAAGAGGUUGAUUGAUGCUUUAAGCCAUUAGUAAAAGAUUGAUUACAAGAGGAAUGAAAGAGUGACGGAAAGAAUCGAGCAGGCGAUCGAAUUAAACGAAAUGGAGAACGAAGAAUGGACAUGUUAAAAAGAAAAUCGCAUCUAAAGCUUA
Schizosaccharomyces pombe (fission yeast) is the source of this 542-nucleotide non-coding RNA. NCBI's taxonomy places the organism in Eukaryota, Fungi, Ascomycota, Schizosaccharomycetes, Schizosaccharomycetales, Schizosaccharomycetaceae. The record is from the annotation of a GenBank genome assembly.